RNAcentral lists this ribosomal RNA (2869 nucleotides) under Bacillus cereus. RNAcentral's name for it is "bacterial LSU rRNA". It matches the Rfam family "Bacterial large subunit ribosomal RNA". The record is from RNAcentral. Lineage: Bacteria; Bacillati; Bacillota; Bacilli; Caryophanales; Bacillaceae.
UUAAGUUAGAAAGGGCGCACGGUGGAUGCCUUGACACUAGGAGUCGAUGAAGGACGGGACUAACGCCGAUAUGCUUCGGGGAGCUGUAAGUAAGCUUUGAUCCGAAGAUUUCCGAAUGGGGAAACCCACCAUACGUAAUGGUAUGGUAUCCUUAUCUGAAUACAUAGGGUAAGGAAGACAGACCCAGGGAACUGAAACAUCUAAGUACCUGGAGGAAGAGAAAGCAAAUGCGAUUUCCUGAGUAGCGGCGAGCGAAACGGAACAUAGCCCAAACCAAGAGGCUUGCCUCUUGGGGUUGUAGGACAUUCUAUACGGAGUUACAAAGGAACGAGGUAGACGAAGCGACCUGGAAAGGUCCGUCGUAGAGGGUAACAACCCCGUAGUCGAAACUUCGUUCUCUCUUGAAUGUAUCCUGAGUACGGCGGAACACGUGAAAUUCCGUCGGAAUCUGGGAGGACCAUCUCCCAAGGCUAAAUACUCCCUAGUGAUCGAUAGUGAACCAGUACCGUGAGGGAAAGGUGAAAAGCACCCCGGAAGGGGAGUGAAAGAGAUCCUGAAACCGUGUGCCUACAAAUAGUCAGAGCCCGUUAACGGGUGAUGGCGUGCCUUUUGUAGAAUGAACCGGCGAGUUACGAUCCCGUGCGAGGUUAAGCUGAAGAGGCGGAGCCGCAGCGAAAGCGAGUCUGAAUAGGGCGUUUAGUACGUGGUCGUAGACCCGAAACCAGGUGAUCUACCCAUGUCCAGGGUGAAGUUCAGGUAACACUGAAUGGAGGCCCGAACCCACGCACGUUGAAAAGUGCGGGGAUGAGGUGUGGGUAGCGGAGAAAUUCCAAUCGAACCUGGAGAUAGCUGGUUCUCCCCGAAAUAGCUUUAGGGCUAGCCUUAAGUGUAAGAGUCUUGGAGGUAGAGCACUGAUUGGACUAGGGGUCCUCAUCGGAUUACCGAAUUCAGUCAAACUCCGAAUGCCAAUGACUUAUCCUUAGGAGUCAGACUGCGAGUGAUAAGAUCCGUAGUCAAAAGGGAAACAGCCCAGACCGCCAGCUAAGGUCCCAAAGUGUGUAUUAAGUGGAAAAGGAUGUGGAGUUGCUUAGACAACUAGGAUGUUGGCUUAGAAGCAGCCACCAUUUAAAGAGUGCGUAAUAGCUCACUAGUCGAGUGACUCUGCGCCGAAAAUGUACCGGGGCUAAAUACACCACCGAAGCUGCGGAUUGAUACCAAUGGUAUCAGUGGUAGGGGAGCGUUCUAAGGACAGUGAAGUCAGACCGGAAGGACUGGUGGAGUGCUUAGAAGUGAGAAUGCCGGUAUGAGUAGCGAAAGACGGGUGAGAAUCCCGUCCACCGAAUGCCUAAGGUUUCCUGAGGAAGGCUCGUCCGCUCAGGGUUAGUCAGGACCUAAGCCGAGGCCGACAGGCGUAGGCGAUGGACAACAGGUUGAUAUUCCUGUACCACCUCUUUAUCGUUUGAGCAAUGGAGGGACGCAGAAGGAUAGAAGAAGCGUGCGAUUGGUUGUGCACGUCCAAGCAGUUAGGCUGAUAAGUAGGCAAAUCCGCUUAUCGUGAAGGCUGAGCUGUGAUGGGGAAGCUCCUUAUGGAGCGAAGUCUUUGAUUCCCCGCUGCCAAGAAAAGCUUCUAGCGAGAUAAAAGGUGCCUGUACCGCAAACCGACACAGGUAGGCGAGGAGAGAAUCCUAAGGUGUGCGAGAGAACUCUGGUUAAGGAACUCGGCAAAAUGACCCCGUAACUUCGGGAGAAGGGGUGCUUUCUUAACGGAAAGCCGCAGUGAAUAGGCCCAAGCGACUGUUUAGCAAAAACACAGCUCUCUGCGAAGCCGUAAGGCGAAGUAUAGGGGGUGACACCUGCCCGGUGCUGGAAGGUUAAGGAGAGGGGUUAGCGUAAGCGAAGCUCUGAACUGAAGCCCCAGUAAACGGCGGCCGUAACUAUAACGGUCCUAAGGUAGCGAAAUUCCUUGUCGGGUAAGUUCCGACCCGCACGAAAGGUGUAACGAUUUGGGCACUGUCUCAACCAGAGACUCGGUGAAAUUAUAGUACCUGUGAAGAUGCAGGUUACCCGCGACAGGACGGAAAGACCCCGUGGAGCUUUACUGUAGCCUGAUAUUGAAUUUUGGUACAGUUUGUACAGGAUAGGCGGGAGCCUUUGAAACCGGAGCGCUAGCUUCGGUGGAGGCGCUGGUGGGAUACCGCCCUGACUGUAUUGAAAUUCUAACCUACGGGUCUUAUCGACCCGGGAGACAGUGUCAGGUGGGCAGUUUGACUGGGGCGGUCGCCUCCUAAAGUGUAACGGAGGCGCCCAAAGGUUCCCUCAGAAUGGUUGGAAAUCAUUCGUAGAGUGCAAAGGCAUAAGGGAGCUUGACUGCGAGACCUACAAGUCGAGCAGGGACGAAAGUCGGGCUUAGUGAUCCGGUGGUUCCGCAUGGAAGGGCCAUCGCUCAACGGAUAAAAGCUACCCCGGGGAUAACAGGCUUAUCUCCCCCAAGAGUCCACAUCGACGGGGAGGUUUGGCACCUCGAUGUCGGCUCAUCGCAUCCUGGGGCUGUAGUCGGUCCCAAGGGUUGGGCUGUUCGCCCAUUAAAGCGGUACGCGAGCUGGGUUCAGAACGUCGUGAGACAGUUCGGUCCCUAUCCGUCGUGGGCGUAGGAAAUUUGAGAGGAGCUGUCCUUAGUACGAGAGGACCGGGAUGGACGCACCGCUGGUGUACCAGUUGUUCUGCCAAGGGCAUAGCUGGGUAGCUAUGUGCGGAAGGGAUAAGUGCUGAAAGCAUCUAAGCAUGAAGCCCCCCUCAAGAUGAGAUUUCCCAUAGCGUAAGCUAGUAAGAUCCCUGAAAGAUGAUCAGGUUGAUAGGUUCGAGGUGGAAG